This 329-nucleotide unclassified non-coding RNA is filed under the name soil metagenome. RNAcentral's name for it is "partial contains 5.8S ribosomal RNA, internal transcribed spacer 2, and large subunit ribosomal RNA". The stretch from base 1 to 120 matches the Rfam family "5.8S ribosomal RNA", at positions 35 to 154 of the family's 154-position model. The record is from RNAcentral.
GAUGAAGAACGUAGCGAAAUGCGAUAAGUAAUGUGAAUUGCAGAAUUCAGUGAAUCAUCGAAUCUUUGAACGCACAUUGCGCCCCCUGGCAUUCCGGGGGGCAUGCCUGUUCGAGCGUCAUUACAACCCUCAAGCUCUGCUUGGCAUUGGGCUCUGCUGGGACCGGCAGGCCUUAAAAUCAGUGGCGGCGCCACUCGGCUUCAAGCGUAGUAAUUCUUCUCGCUUCGGAGACCCGGGUGCGUGCUAGCCAGCAACCCCCAACUUUCUUAGGUUGACCUCGGAUCAGGUAGGGAUACCCGCUGAACUUAAGCAUAUCAAUAAGCGGAGGA